Molecule: long non-coding RNA, 724 nt
Filed under: Vulpes vulpes (red fox)
Lineage: Eukaryota; Metazoa; Chordata; Mammalia; Carnivora; Canidae
Description: lncRNA (ENSVVUG00000002774.1)
Source: RNAcentral
GGUCGGGUCGCGGGCGCUCGGUCCCAGCCGAGGGGCGGGCGCCGGACGGCGUGCGGGACCGAGGGCGCCGCGGCUGGCCGGGGUCCUGGGCCUCGCCGGUGGGCGUCUCGCCGUCGCACCCGCAGCGCACUCCUGCCGAGGGAGGCCCUGCCCCCCCACACACAGCCCCCGGCGGCGGCCCGUCGUGACGUGCGCGUUCUGACGUCACCCUGCCGGCGCCGCCCUGACGUGUCCUCUCCCUGAUGUCACCCGGCGGCGCCGCGGACACGCAGCAGGCUGCUGUCACCUGCUGAGUGGUCAGCGUUCCCGAGUCAGUGCGAGUGCGGUUGGUUUUUUAAAGACCCGGGAACCUCCGGAGUUCCGUUCUGGGGUCUGCCUGAGCUGUGCGGUCUGCGGGGACGGGCGCUCGGGGCGGAGCAGGACCGGGUGCCAGCACAUUCCUGCGAUGAAAAAUAAAAACGUUAGAAAACUUGUCCGGUUUAGCAGAACAAACCUACCCUGCUGGGACUCAAGAGUGGACAAGGAAUAUGGAAGUAACAUCUGUAUACAUCUGCUCCCUGUAAAAUGCCAACCUGUCAUCCCCAGGGAGCUGCACGGGCCCAUGGUGCACAUGUGUGCACCUUGCACCAGCAGCAGGAGGGCCAGGCGUCAGCACCCAGGAAACACUCUCAGAGUGCGCUCAACAGAGCCACUUUGCCAGGGACCAACAAAUAAAAACCUCUAG